AUCAGCUCUUGCCACUGUGCUAGACCCUGCUGCCCUGGGGGGGCUGCAGAAGAUGGGGAGUCUCAUGAGGGAUCACCCUGGUGUCCCCCAUCUUCUGCAAAAACCCAGGGAAGUGUAAUUUACAGUGUAAAAAAGCCAUAAUCAAUAAGCGUGAGACCUUAGCCACGGCAGUGAAGGAAGAUCUAUUGAGCUGUUGGAGGCUAAAACCUUUUUCUUCUGCCACACAUUGUAUUUAGGAGAUCAAAAUGCUCAGUGCGUUGAAAGCAGAUUAAGGAAAUUAAUGAAAAGGGAAAAGCAGCCCAAACCAAUCUUUCCCUUUUCAGAGAAAGCAGAUAGUCACGGUGCUGCUUUCAUUAACAUUAAUGUCAGUUAAUGCUUUUAAUUGUUCUCUUCUGACAUUUCAAUUAUAUGUUUUACGUAAAUAAAUGUCAGCUUUGGGAUUGUCCAGGAUAGGAUUUUUGCAGAGGCUGUCUGCAAAUCCCCAUUAGUUGCCGUGCUGAUGUAGCAGCUCCCUUUCCAUCUCUGUGCCCUGAGAGUUGGGUUUUACCAGAGGGAGGGAGGCCGUCUUUUCCUUCAAGGUUCAAAACACUCCAUUUGAAAGGAAAAAGAAGCCUUUUUUUAAAAAUCAAAACCACACUUUUCAUAGAUUGACAUGGUAAGUGCGUGAAAGCUAAGAAUCAUCGUGCUGAUGCAAGUGCGUUUUAAAUAAACAAUAUUUUUCCUUGGAAAAUGGCUUCAUGGGAAACAAAGAAAGCCAGAGCUGGACUGUUACCCCAAGUCUGAACCAAAUAAUUCUUGCGGCUCUGGGAAAUUUAAACUCUAACAUGGGAGCAGUGCUUCCCGAGGUGUUUGACCCUUGCUCCCUGCCCUGCUGCCUAACAGCUGGCUGAAAUGAGGAAUUCAGAAAUUACUUUUUAUGGUGAAUGAAUGCUCAGCUCCAUUUAUGCCUAAAAUAAUCGCUGUCCCAACUCCGGGAGACGCAGCAGCAGAGAUGUGACUUCUCCCCUGUCACUUGGCCUGCUCUUUGGACACCUUUCAGGGCUGGUACCACCCGAGGGCAGUCUCCAGAGGAAGAUUUCUGGGCAUUUCGCUGAGAUUUGAGGCCACCUGGGUGUCUGCUGAGGCACCGCCAGCCCCAGCUGGUGCUCCUGUGCAGGCAAGAAUUUAACAGAAGCUCACCAAAAGCUCAGAAGCUCCCCAUUACUUCACUCCUGGGAUGAGAUUGGCCACAACUGGGAGCGAGACAACUGCUGCACAAGGCUGUUUGCUCACUGUUUCAACCAUUCUGCAUCGGUAUCUCCCCGCUUGUCCUGAGGGGCCGGGUUGGAUGAGGGACGCAUCCUGCUCUCAGCCCUGCUCGGAGCCCGGCUGGCACACAGGAGGAGCUUUGCUGUGGUCACCCUCACACAAAGCUCUGCUGAAGUAAAAUAUCCACCUGCAAACAUAAACCUGUGCACAGUCGAGCCCCAGGGGUGUCCCGGCCCUCUGGUACUCCCCGAGGGAUGCUGAAGAGCUGCAAUGUGAGUGCAGUUCACCCUGCCCAGGACAAAGCUGCUCCUGGACCAGCCCUCCUUAAACAUACCCUGUUUAGCAAUAGCUGUUCGGGAGCAGAGAAACCAGCAUCCACCGACAUGUCCUGUGGCAAUGGCUCCAGAUUUCUAAUUUAAUCCCUGAAUUGCCACACUGAAAUCCACUCAACUCAUCCACAGUGCUUGGGUUAAGAAAAAAAAAAAAAACACUAAACUUGAUGAAGGGGAAAGAAAAGCCCACAAGCUGUUUUAAUGCAGGGAAAGGAAUAUGAUCUGUCAGAAAGAUUAUUUUUACAAAUUGUUUGUCUGGUUAUGACGCUGAACAAGAGUUACAUUUUUCUCCCUGACAGCUCAUCACGCAGCGAGCGCUGAGCCGAAGAGCUCUUCACAGGCACGGAGCAGCUGCGAUGCCGUUAUCCUGCUUUACCCACUCGUGUUGCACACAGUCCUGCUGGAUGAAGAGGUGUUAAGUUGAAGGAAAAACAAACCCAAGAACCACUUGCAAGUCCAGCUAUGUUUUUUCCUCCUGUGCAUUUUUUAUACAUAAAGAAAAGAGCAACCUUACAGCUUGAAAAGACCCCAGGAUAUUUUUUAAUUAUUUUCAUUAUUUUUUUUCAAUGAGCACUCUCCAAUAUUUUUCUGGGUUGAAACAGGGAAAACAUCAUACAAAAUUUUGUCCCCACCUGUUCUGGGAUAUGCAAAGCUCCAGCCCUGUCCCGUGUCUCCUGCUGCCAGCAGAGGGAUGGUGGGACCGCGGAGUGGGAAAUUGGGUCCUUUAAUUAAUGAUGAGGAGAGAGAGGAGGAAAAAUGGGAAGGGGAAAAAGCCAUCCAAGCACAUUUAUCAUCCCUUGCUGUUAUGAGACUUUUUUUAUGGUGUAUUUGCCUAAAUGAAAUGAAAGUCUGGGGAGGAAAUAUAUUGCUUUACAAGUCAAGCGAGACAUACUGUGGGGCCUGCGCUGAAACGCUCAGCUUUGUUUACUGAUCCUGAUCCUUUCUGACCCCCCUACUUAAAAAAUAAUGCCUGGUAAUUUUCAAGAUGGAAAUAUUUCCUCUGGAAAAAGUCAGACCAAGACCUCCAGACUUCCCUCAGUGUUUCCUCUGCACUCGCUCACAGCCCUCUGCCUGCCUGGGGAGCUGCAGCCCUCUUCAAUUUAGCAGAAAUUACCCAACCUCCCUAUCUCGGCUCCCCAGAUCAUCCUUUGGUUCAAGAAACAGGUGGAUUUUCUUAUCACUGGUUAAAAAGGCCCCUGGGUGCAUUAGCAGAGGAAUAGCACUGGGAACGUCUCUGUUUUUUUUUUUCCCCCUGGCUUUUUUACAGGUCUGGCAGUGGCCCUGGAGUGGAUCAAAUGAAGUCUCCCCCUGGAUGUUGAUGGGGACUGACGUGAUCGCAACUUCCAGAGCUGUAUUGGGCCCUCAGGACUCAGGCUCUCAGGGGCAUUUAGCAGCAGUGAGUGAAAUGAUGAUGGGUGCUGGCUCCCCACUAGCCCCCAGCUCCCAGGUUCAUGCCCCAGGGCCAGCAGCAGCCCUGAAGCCCUGCAGCCCCUGCUCCCAUGGGAGUUGACUUCGACCCCAAGCUCAGAAGUGAGCAGCCACUCACAGGGCAGGGGUUCCUCUGCACACUUCUGGGCUCAGCCCUCCUACCUGGGGCAAAAAUCCUCAGAACUACACAGUUCCCCAGGUGAUGAAGCCACCUGCCACCCGAUUUGCCAUCCCACAGUGUUUUUACUGAUUUUAGUUGAAGAUCAUUCCAAUCUGUCCCUAAAACCUGAGCCUCUCCUACCGUUCUGCAGCAUUUUGAGAUGAAACGAAGCGCAUCAAAGCACUGACGCCUGCUACCAGCAAACCUCGUGGAGCAUCUCCUGAGGGCUGUGGGCCAGCAGAGCGUGGCCAGGUUGAUCAGGACAUCUGAUCUGCUCUGGGCAGGUGGCCGAGCAAAGACUGCAUCCUGCCCAGCCAAAUCUGGCCACGGGAGCUUCCAGGAGACAGGGCAGAGGGGCAGCAUCCUUCAAACCGAAAGAGCCAGAUCCAGUAGGCACCAUCUGUAAUAAGGUUUUGUACUAAAAAAUUUUUUUUGCACUAAAUGCAGCUAUCAGGCCACAGCACUUUGCUUUCUGGAGUAAAGUGGAGAAUUGAUUUUUCUUAACUGCCCAGGUGCCAAUUUUCACUGAACUUAAGACUUUCCAACUGUGUUUUAUGGAAUGAUUAGGAAGCCAAACCACACACAGGCUUGCAGGCUGUGCUCUCAGAGCCAGUACCAGCAUGAUGCCUUUGGGACUUGCAGCCCCUGCAAGUGAUGGGCACUGCAGCGACUUCCCCGUCCCAAGGUUCCUCCCAGCCCUGUUUGCAAUCUGCCAGCCAUAUAUACAUAAAUAUUCUGACUUCUGGAGCCUUGCAAUAUGCUGGCAUUUCUGCAAGCCCGUCAGUGGCAAGAGGUUAACUCCCCGGCUGGAAAGAUGCUCAUAACAAGGCAGUGAUGAUCCAAAGGAGCCUGAGGAGCAUCACAGUGUCGGUGUGUGGCCCAAAGGGAGGUGUUUGCCUCUUUUCAGCUUUUCUCACCAAACUGUUUCUGUUCCCUCCCUGUCGGAGGUGACAGUUGCUUUCCCAGCCAUCCACCCGGGGAGCUGCGGUGUCAAACCCUCUGAUUGAAUUAGCGUGGGUAAUUUAUAUGGAGGUAAAAUGGAAUGAAAAGUAAAGUAACCAGAAAUGAGAUUAUUUUUCAAGGUACAUUUAACUUACUGUGACACUUGAGAGCAUGAACCUUUAACAGAAACAAGCAA
Molecule: non-coding RNA, 4306 nt
Organism: Anas platyrhynchos (mallard)
Lineage: Eukaryota; Metazoa; Chordata; Aves; Anseriformes; Anatidae
Source: RefSeq, a predicted model, not a curated record